GAUAUUUCCUCUUUACUCAUCACUACUCGGCUGGUAAACAAAUUGGUGUUGAACACAGUGCAUCAAUCGCUACCACAAGCCAUGCCUGUGUGAAUGAACCUGAGACAACGAUUGAUCUUCCUUCAAUCCACCGUGAUUGUUCAGACGCAGAGCGUGCACAAGAGAAUAGAGCCCGAAAAAAAGCGAAGAUCCAAUCAGCAGAUUCAAUAAUGGAAGAAUCUACAAAUCCUGAGGAAUCUUCAAAUGCAAUUCCUGUACAAGUUGAUGUCCAUCAUCGGCAUUAUUCACAACACAGUGCAUCAAUCGCUACCACAAGCCAUGACUGUGUAAAUGAACCUGAAACAACGAGUGGUCUUCCUUUAAUCCACCGUGAUUAUCCAAAAAGAGCUGCACAGCGAAUGGCAGAGUAUAGAGCUCGGAAAAACAAGAAAACUCCAAUAGUGAAUCAACGAAAACAUAAGAAAUCAGACGCAGAGCGUGCAAAAGAGUAUAGAGCCCGAAAAAAAGCGAAGAUCAAAUCAGCAGAAUCCACAAAUCCUGAGGAAUCUUCAAAUGCAAUUACUGCACAAGUUGAUGUCCAUCAUCGGCAUAAUUCACAACUCAGUGCAUCAAUCGCUACCACAAGCCAUGCCUGUGUGAAUGAACCUGAAACAACGAUUGAUCUUCCUUCAAUCCACCGUGAUUGUUCAGACGCAGAGCGUGCAAAAGAGUAUAGAGCCCGAAAAAAAGCGAAGAUCCAAUCAGCAGAAUCCACAAAUCCUGAGGAAUCUUCAAAUGCAAUUACUGCACAAGUUGAUGUCCAUCAUCGGCAUAAUUCACAACUCAGUGCAUCAAUCGCUACCACAAGCCAUGACUGUGUGAAUGAACCUGAAACAACGAGUGGUCUUCCUUUAAUCCACCGUGAUUAUCCAAAAAGAGCUGCACAGCGAAUGGCAGAGUAUAGAGCUCGGAAAAACAAGAAAACUCCAAUAGUGAAUCAACGAAAACAUAAGAAAUCAGACGCAGAGCGUGCAAAAGAGUAUAGAGCCCGAAAAAAAGCGAAGAUCCAAUCAGCAGUUCUUUUUAGAUUCAAUUAUGGAAGAAUCCACAAAUCCUGAGGAAUCUUCAAAUGCAAUUACUGUACAAGUUGAUGUCCAUCAUCGGCAUUAUUCACAACUCAGUGCAUCAAUCGCUACCACAAGCCAUGACUGUGUGAAUGAACCUGAAACAACGAGUGGUCUUCCUUUAAUCCACCGUGAUUAUCCAAAAAGAGCUGCACAGCGAAUGGCAGAGUAUAGAGCUCGGAAAAACAAGAAAACUCCAAUAGUGAAUCAACGAAAACAUAAGAAAUCAGACGCAGAGCGUGCAAAAGAGUAUAGAGCCCGAAAAAAAGCGAAGAUCCAAUCAGCAGAUUCAAUUAUGGAAGAAUCCACAAAUCCUGAGGAAUCUUCAAAUGCAAUUACUGUACAAGUUGAUGUCCAUCAUCGGCAUUAUUCACAACUCAGUGCAUCAAUCGCUACCACAAGCCAUGACUGUGUGAAUGAACCUGAAACAACGAGUGAUCUUGCUUCAAUCCACCGUGAUUAUCCAAAAAGAGCUGCACAGCGAAUGGCAGAGCAUAGAGCUCGGAAAAAAAGGAAACUCCAAAAGUGAAAAAAAAGUGAAUUAUUGAAAACAUAAUAAAUCAGACGCAGAGCGGGCAAAAGAGUAUAGAGCCCGAAAGAAAGCGAAGAUCCAAGAACACACACAACUAUCAGAGCAUGAAACUAAUCAUCUUGCUUACACGGAUUUUCAUCGUCAUCAUCUGGCUCAUGAUGAAUUUCAAAAGAAAUUUGUUCGAAAUUCAUUUGGUUAUGUGUGCUCAGUUUGUGAAAGACUGUGGUUUAAAGAUGACUUACGAUCUGCAUCCCUUAACCCGCAUCCGUUCUAUGUAUCAAUUUGAUACAAACUUUAACUUAAGAUGUAGACUUAGGCGAAAUGGAUUCUUAUAUGGAUUUGUGAUUUUGGCUCAAGUUUUGUCUUUAAAAAAUUCAUGUAAAGCAUUUUUUGUUCAAAAUAAACAAACGUUCAUAA
This is an RNA transcript of Drosophila ficusphila, 2052 nucleotides long. RefSeq lists it as uncharacterized. The transcript is spliced from 7 exons. NCBI's taxonomy places the organism in Eukaryota, Metazoa, Arthropoda, Insecta, Diptera, Drosophilidae. The record is from RefSeq and is a predicted model, not a curated record.